RNAcentral lists this ribosomal RNA (253 nucleotides) under uncultured bacterium. RNAcentral's name for it is "partial 16S ribosomal RNA". It matches the Rfam family "Bacterial small subunit ribosomal RNA", at positions 524 to 776 of the family's 1533-position model. The record is from RNAcentral.
UACGUAGGGACCAAGCGUUGUUCGGAUUUACUGGGCGUAAAGGGCGCGUAGGCGGCUGCUCAAGUCGAAUGUGAAACCUCGAGGCUUAACCUCGAGCCUGCAUUCGAUACUGGGCGGCUAGAGUCUGGUAGGGGGAUCUGGAAUUCCUGGUGUAGCGGUGGAAUGCGCAGAUAUCAGGAGGAACACCGGUGGCGAAGGCGGGAUCCUGGGCCAGUACUGACGCUGAGGAGCGAAAGCGUGGGGAGCAAACAGG